Molecule: ribosomal RNA, 253 nt
Filed under: uncultured bacterium
Lineage: Bacteria
Description: partial 16S ribosomal RNA
Rfam family: Bacterial small subunit ribosomal RNA
Source: RNAcentral
UACGUAGGAGGCAAGCGUUGUCCGGAAUUACUGGGUGUAAAGCGCGUGUAGGCGGCAGGCCAAGUCUGUGGUGAAAUCGCUCGGCUCAACUGGGCGGGGUCCAUGGAAACUGGUCAGCUGGAGGACGGUAGAGGUGAGUGGAAUUCCCGGUGUAGUGGUGAAAUGCGUAGAGAUCGGAAAGAACACCAACGGCGAAGGCACUCUGCUGGGCCGACACUGACACUGAGAGACGAAAGCUAGGGGAGCAAAUGGG